This 399-nucleotide long non-coding RNA is filed under the name Helianthus annuus (common sunflower). RNAcentral's name for it is "sRNA HanXRQr2_Chr11g0475031". Lineage: Eukaryota; Viridiplantae; Streptophyta; Magnoliopsida; Asterales; Asteraceae. The record is from RNAcentral.
AUGAGGGCUUAUCGGUCUUUUUACCUUUUUUCUUUGAACAAUCUUAUGGAUUGGCACAUGGUUAAAUUUAACUUAAAAACUAACUAGGUUAGGGUAAAAGGUCGAAAUGUGCACAAAAGUGUUAACAUAAAGGACAUAAGGUGUAAUAAAGGACAACGCCCGACGUAAAAGACAACUAAAAUUUCAAACAUCGUCCAUUUUCGUUAUUUAGAUGAAAGUUUUGGUAAAAAGAACGGCACAUAAAUAAAUUUAUUUUCUCUUAAAUAAUCAAGUGAUCAUAAUCAAAAGCACUUCAUCUAAACAUUUAAAACACGUCAUUGUGACUUUGGCUCAUGAAAAUCAGAUAAUAAUGCAAUAGUCGGUUGCAUAAAUAACCAAAACUUCAUAAACGAUGUAAUU